CUGUUUAUUUGUUUGUUUGUUUCUAGGAGAGCGUCAACCCAUUGAAAAGUGUUCAGCAUAGAGUGUACCCCUCUUUGCAACAGAAGAAGUAUUAGGAGAGAGGAGAAGAGAGACAGAUGUUGGAAUUACACAAGCUUCAGUCUGGAUCCAGAACACCUGAGAAGAGAUGAUACCAACACCUCAGAGAUGGCAAAACAACAUACAGAACAACCAAAUUUUGCUAUAAGUUUGAUUGCAUCAUAUGAUAAUUGCUGUUAAUAGUGUUCUUCGUCUGUUUGAUUAAGCCUUUAAUUGAUUUUCCAUACAUUUCUGCCAUAUGUACAUAAACUGACAGUCACCACUGAUAUGGUACUACUAAAUAUUGUAGAAACUUAAUUUUCUGUAAAGUUGCUUUGCAACGAUUUGUAUUGUAAAAAGCGCUAUACAAAUAAACUUGAACUGAAUUUAAUUGAAUUGAAUACAGUAACAGGAGCAAUUGCAUUUUUGGUCCAAUUGGAGGAGCUAUGUCUCAGCUGCCUUUGAGGGUGUGUUAAAAUUUCCACUAUGGCCUUAUUCACAAGGCACUUGACUGUCACCACACAAAAUUUCAAACAUUUUUUCUUUAAAAUUCUACAGUUAAAAUGUUUGAAAUUUUAAAUGGUAACAGUCGAUUCCUUUGGAAAUAAAGCCCCGUUAUAUAUAACUUUUAACGCAUCCUAAAAGCCAGCUGAGAUAUUGCAC
This is a long non-coding RNA of Cyprinus carpio carpio, 720 nucleotides long. The record is from Ensembl. NCBI's taxonomy places the organism in Eukaryota, Metazoa, Chordata, Actinopteri, Cypriniformes, Cyprinidae.